Molecule: small RNA, 81 nt
Filed under: Propithecus coquereli (Coquerel's sifaka)
Lineage: Eukaryota; Metazoa; Chordata; Mammalia; Primates; Indriidae
Description: Y RNA (ENSPCOG00000001570.1)
Source: RNAcentral
GAUAGCAGUGCUGUUUACAACUAAUUGAUCACAACUAGUUGCAGAUUCCUUUGUUCCUUCUCCACUCCCACUGCUUCACUU